GGCGCGAAAGUGCAGGACGCCCCCCCUCACAGAACCACCAUAGUUCCGACCCAGAGGUGGGCGGGGCCAGGACGAGCCCCAGCCGGGGCCUGCGGGUUGGCACCAGGCUGCCUCAGGAGGACCCCGCGGACCCUAACGUGGCGACGACCACCACAUUUCUGGCGCUGCUAUAAUAUAUGGCACCGGCGGGCGGCUGCGGGGCCGGGCGGAGGACAGGAUCGCGAGGUCGCGAAGAGCCGCGCUGGAGGGAGCAGCGGAUGGAUACCAAACCGUCCCUUGUUGCCGGGGACCCUCAGAUCAUGUUACCUGAGCAUCCUCAGAUGAACCAAGCAUGCAAUCAGAGGGAGAAUGUAAGUGUUUUGAAUUAGGACCAGGGCUGAAUUAAGAAGUGGACACUGGAUGGCAGGAUCCAGUCAGAUCAUGCCUCUCAGCAUCACCUCAUUGUAAGAUCCAAAGCCAUCAGGAUAUACCCUUAAUACCCAAUGCUUAUGAAAACCUGACCCAGCCCCCAUCUCAGGGAGACAUUAUUUUGGGAAGUAUCCCUGGUGGUCUCAUUACUUCGUUACAAGUAAUAAAUCCCCUUACUAAAUCCUUGCUGUGAUCAUGGGGUUGAUGUCAAACGACUGAACCCACCCACUGUGUUGGUUGGUAACAAUAGCAGGAGUAGGAACAGAAUACACUCACCAUCCUGAUGAAUUCUAUUCCCAUUGCCUUUCUUUACCUGUGCUUCAGUCUCUGAGAAAUAUUUUAGGGCUCAUCUCACCAAUACAGCCACCAAUCCCCUUUACUGUUUUAUAAUUAUGUCCAAAAUCACAUUUGCACAAGCUUCUGUGGUAAUUCUGCAGGUGCUAGGAUCUUUAUUCCAAGAUAUUUACUGACAGAGGAAUGGUUCUACCAAAAGCUGACAAAUUUUACUGUGUGAGACUUUAAAAUGUGUGUUGGACAAUUUGUUGUCAGUACUCUUAGAAAACAUGGUCUUGUAUUGGUUAGUAUGUAUUGAAGUGAUAAAGGCCCUACUUUAAGCUUUUCAUAUGUUAGCUUUGUAUGGGUAUGUAUCAAAUAGAUUAUUAUUUUUAAAACCUUUGAGCAAAUAAAAGAUUGAAAUAAGAUACUCUGACUGCUAAGCACUAUUUAUUUCCUCCUAUAAUUGAUUCUAGUUCAAUAAAUUGCAACAGUCAUCUUUCUACUCCUCAGUGCCUACACUAGCACCUGUGUAACCCUGACUUACCACUGAAAUCUAAAUGUCAGAGCCAAAUAAUCCAUAAGCAUUAAGUCCAUGAUACAGAUGCAACUGUGCUCACUCAUCAUACUCACUGUUUUCUUCCAAAUCCCACCCACCACCCCCAAGCAUGCUCAUGAACUUGCACACCAGCCUAUCACUUGCCUGUUCUCCUCUUGUCUGUCUCAAUCACCAUGGUCAUGGACUUGUUUUUGCCUAUUUAGUUUUACUUGCCUCUAUACUGUCCUUUAUGGGCCUCAAGCAAAGCUUCCUUCUGAGACUUCUCUUUUGGUCGAGGCUGAGCCAAACCCUGUGUUUUCUUAUAAUGUAUCCCCUUCUUCUAUCUCAAAGUUUCAAAGGUUGUACACAGAAAUUAAAGUCCCCUGUAGUCAGGAAUAACUAGGCUGAGGUUGGUCUGGUGAACUAUAUGGUGAAAUUGGCCCAACAGAUGUCUAUUUUCAGUGUAGCCUGAAAAUGCUAUGGGAAAGAUCUCAGCCUGUCUCUACUUCUUGAGACAGGGUACAUUUGCAGAACUGGUGGGGAGGCCUGGCCCAAGAAUAUUUUCAGGUCAUAUUUGGGGUGGGGUCUACUUCAAGAGAAUUAAUCUUGAAGAAAAACCAAGUCACGCACAAGGACCCUAGCCCAUGAACAAUGCCUUGCCAUUAGGGAAGUAUAGAUAUUCUAAUAGCAACACUGAAAUUAUUAUAGAACUCCUAUUUGUGCCUAUUCCAACACAAACCCUCAACUGUAUAUCUGUCAUAGCAAAGGCAGGUUUAU
Molecule: long non-coding RNA, 1996 nt
Filed under: Homo sapiens (human)
Lineage: Eukaryota; Metazoa; Chordata; Mammalia; Primates; Hominidae
Description: HSALNT0284864
Source: RNAcentral